GAUGAACGCUGGCAGAAUGCUUAACACAUGCAAGUCUUUGGCGAAGCUGUGCUUGCACAGCCUAGCCAAGGCGGACGGGUGAGUAACGCGUAAGGAACUUGCCCUGCAGUCAGGGAUAACAGACGGAAACGACUGAUAAGACCUGGUAAAGUCAGGCGGACUCAUGUCCAGCCUGAUGAAAAGUGAUGCUGCAGGAGAGCCUUGCGUCCUAUUAGCUUGUUGGUGGGGUAACGGCCCACCAAGGCGAUGAUAGGUAGCCGGCCUGAGAGGGUGGACGGCCACAAGGGGACUGAGAUACGGCCCUUACUCCUACGGGAGGCAGCAGUGGGGAAUAUUGGACAAUGGGGGCAACCCUGAUCCAGCAAUUCUGUGUGCACGAUGAAGGUUUUCGGAUUGUAAAGUGCUUUCAGCAGGGAAGAAAAAAAUGACGGUACCUGCAGAAGAAGCGACGGCUAAAUACGUG
This 463-nucleotide ribosomal RNA is filed under the name uncultured bacterium. RNAcentral describes it as "partial 16S ribosomal RNA". It matches the Rfam family "Bacterial small subunit ribosomal RNA", at positions 28 to 507 of the family's 1533-position model. The record is from RNAcentral.